RNAcentral lists this small RNA (240 nucleotides) under Microcebus murinus (gray mouse lemur). RNAcentral describes it as "7SK RNA (ENSMICG00000025660.3)". The stretch from base 1 to 109 matches the Rfam family "7SK RNA", at positions 1 to 108 of the family's 331-position model. Lineage: Eukaryota; Metazoa; Chordata; Mammalia; Primates; Cheirogaleidae. The record is from RNAcentral.
GGCUAGAAAGGUGAUCAGAUUGUGUCAUCUGUCGCCACACUGAUUUCCACAGUUCAUUCUGUCAAUCUUACAGGCUAAGCAGAUGUGCCUUUUCUCCCUCUCUCCAGCCUAUGGGCAGCCCUUGAGAAGCCCAUUCUUUGAUUGUAGAUAUUCAUAGAAGGCAUUCAAGUUUCCUGAUUUAAUUAAUCAUAGUGCAAUAAUCACUUAGGGCAGUUUUAUUCAAAGUUUGGUCCCCAAAAU